This 253-nucleotide ribosomal RNA is filed under the name uncultured bacterium. Its description in RNAcentral is "partial 16S ribosomal RNA". It matches the Rfam family "Bacterial small subunit ribosomal RNA", at positions 524 to 776 of the family's 1533-position model. The record is from RNAcentral.
UACGAAGGGGGCUAGCGUUGCUCGGAAUCACUGGGCGUAAAGGGUGCGUAGGCGGGUCUUUAAGUCAGGGGUGAAAUCCUGGAGCUCAACUCCAGAACUGCCUUUGAUACUGAGGAUCUUGAGUUCGGGAGAGGUGAGUGGAACUGCGAGUGUAGAGGUGAAAUUCGUAGAUAUUCGCAAGAACACCGGUGGCGAAGGCGGCUCUCUGGACCGAUACUGACGCUGAGGCGCGAAAGCGUGGGGAGCAAACAGG